CUCUCCCAUCCCUACAAUUGUGACAACUGAGAAUGACAUCAGCAAGACACAGAUGACACACAGGAUGCAUCUUUGGACCACCUGUCUUCUGGAGUUUGUCCGUGUCUCUGCUGUCCUGCACUUACAUUGGAGCCACUAUCAUUUGAGACCUUGUGCUUCUUCCAGGCCAGUAGGCAGCAGAGCACACGUACUGAAGGCAGACUGAAUCCUCUUUCUUACCCACUCCCAGCCCUGCCUGCCAUCACUGGCAGUGGCCACGGUGGUUGGGAGGAUUCAGGAAGACCAGGAGAACGUUCACCCUGGCACUGUCCUGGGUGCCAUGAGACCUGCUGUGGAAUCAGCUGGAUUCUGAAAUUUGGAACCAUUCUAACUGGAGUGGGAAGACACGUGAAGACCUGUGUGAGGCAUGAACCUGUACUUCCACUUUCCAGUCUCUACUAGAUGCCAUGAACUGCUGCUCCUCUGCCACAGCACCCUGCCUUGGAGCCAGCUGAGAAUAGACCGAAACCUCCACAAAAUGUGAGCUAAAUAA
Long non-coding RNA from Cavia porcellus (domestic guinea pig), 532 nucleotides. RefSeq lists it as uncharacterized. NCBI's taxonomy places the organism in Eukaryota, Metazoa, Chordata, Mammalia, Rodentia, Caviidae. The transcript has 4 exons. The record is from RefSeq and is a predicted model, not a curated record.